GAUGAAGAACGCAGCGAAAUGCGAUAAGUGAUGUGAAUUGCAGAAUUCAGUGAAUCAUCGAAUCUUUGAACGCACAUUGCGCCCUUUGGCAUUCCGAAGGGCACACCUGUCCGAGCGCCGUCGCACAACUGAGGCGCAGCCUUGCGUUGGCGGGCGACUUGUGAGUAGCGAGUCGCCGCCCAAACGAGACGGCGCCGCGCCGCGGCCGACGAAGCACGAAAGCGGAAGUCGACGCGGAGGCGGUUGCCUGUAGGAAGACACAGCUUGGCCUCGGAUCAGGUGGGGAUACCCGCUGAACUUAAGCAUAUCAAUAAGCGGAGGA
RNAcentral lists this unclassified non-coding RNA (322 nucleotides) under soil metagenome. RNAcentral describes it as "partial contains 5.8S ribosomal RNA, internal transcribed spacer 2, and large subunit ribosomal RNA". The stretch from base 1 to 120 matches the Rfam family "5.8S ribosomal RNA", at positions 35 to 154 of the family's 154-position model. The record is from RNAcentral.